This 507-nucleotide ribosomal RNA is filed under the name Pleurotus nebrodensis. RNAcentral describes it as "SSU rRNA". It matches the Rfam family "Eukaryotic small subunit ribosomal RNA", at positions 600 to 1110 of the family's 1831-position model. The record is from RNAcentral. Lineage: Eukaryota; Fungi; Basidiomycota; Agaricomycetes; Agaricales; Pleurotaceae.
UAUAUUAAAGUUGUUGCAGUUAAAAAGCUCGUAGUUGAACUUCAGACCUGGCUGGGCGGUCCGCUUAACGGCGUGUACUGUCUGGCUGGGCCUUACCUCUUGGUGAGCCGGCGUGCCCUUUAUUGGUGUGCGUUGGGGAACCAGGACUUUUACCUUGAGAAAAUUAGAGUGUUCAAAGCAGGCCUGUGCCUGAAUACAUUAGCAUGGAAUAAUAAAAUAGGACGUGCGGUUCUAUUUUGUUGGUUUCUAGAGUCGCCGUAAUGAUUAAUAGGGAUAGUUGGGGGCAUUGGUAUUGAGUCGCUAGAGGUGAAAUUCUUGGAUUGACUCAAGACCAACUACUGCGAAAGCAUUUGCCAAGGAUGUUUUCAUUAAUCAAGAACGAAGGUUAGGGGAUCGAAAACGAUCAGAUACCGUUGUAGUCUUAACAGUAAACUAUGCCGACUAGGGAUCGGGCAAUCUCAAACAUGAUGUGUUGCUCGGCACCUUACGAGAAAUCAAAGUCUUUGG